Molecule: transfer RNA, 74 nt
Filed under: Sphaerodactylus townsendi
Lineage: Eukaryota; Metazoa; Chordata; Lepidosauria; Squamata; Sphaerodactylidae
Description: tRNA-Thr
Source: RNAcentral
GCCGCUACGGCAUAGUGGUCAAGAGUGUCAGACUAGUAUGCUGAAGCUGUGGGAUCGAAUCCCCAUUUGUGCUA